This 492-nucleotide ribosomal RNA is filed under the name uncultured bacterium. Its description in RNAcentral is "partial 16S ribosomal RNA". It matches the Rfam family "Bacterial small subunit ribosomal RNA", at positions 29 to 507 of the family's 1533-position model. The record is from RNAcentral.
AGUGAACGCUGGCGGUAGGCCUAACACAUGCAAGUCGAACGGCAGCACAGUAAGAGCUUGCUCUUACGGGUGGCGAGUGGCGGACGGGUGAGGAAUACAUCGGAAUCUACUUUUUCGUGGGGGAUAACGUAGGGAAACUUACGCUAAUACCGCAUGCGACCUACGGGUGAAAGCAGGGGAUCUUCGGACCUUGCGCGAUUGAAUGAGCCGAUGUCGGAUUAGCUAGUUGGCGGGGUAAAGGCCCACCAAGGCGACGAUCCGUAGCUGGUCUGAGAGGAUGAUCAGCCACACUGGAACUGAGACACGGUCCAGACUCCUACGGGAGGCAGCAGUGGGGAAUAUUGGACAAUGGGCGCAAGCCUGAUCCAGCCAUACCGCGCGGGUGAAGAAGGCCUUCGGGUUGUAAAGCCCUUUUGUUGGGAAAGAAAAGCAGCAGGUUAAUACCCCGCUGUUCUGACGGUACCCAAAGAAUAAGCACCGGCUAACUUCGUG